GAUGAACGCUAGCGGCAGGCUUAAUACAUGCAAGUCAAGGGGGUAGCAAUACAACCGGCGCACGGGUGAGUAACACGUACACAACAUACCAUAUACUGAGGUAUAGCUUCGGGAAACUGAAGGUAAUCCCUCAUAGUAUUGUGAAAGGGCAUCUUUUUACAAUUAAAGUUUCGACGGUAUAUGAUUGGUGUGCGUUUGAUUAGCUAGUUGGUAGGGUAACGGCCUACCAAGGCAACGAUCAAUAGCUGGCGUGAGAGCGCGACCAGCCACACUGGAACUGAGACACGGUCCAGACUCCUACGGGAGGCAGCAGUAGGGAAUAUUGGACAAUGGGCGAAAGCCUGAUCCAGCCAUGCCGCGUGAUAGAUGAAGGCCCUCUGGGUUGUAAAUAUCUUUUAUCUGGGAAGAAACACUUCUAUUCUUAGAAGCUUGACGGUACCAGAGGAAUAAGCACCGGCUAACUCCGUGCCAGCAGCCGCGGU
This 482-nucleotide ribosomal RNA is filed under the name uncultured bacterium. Its description in RNAcentral is "bacterial SSU rRNA". It matches the Rfam family "Bacterial small subunit ribosomal RNA", at positions 28 to 521 of the family's 1533-position model. The record is from RNAcentral.